UGGGGAAUUUUGGACAAUGGGCGAAAGCCUGAUCCAGCAAUGCCGCGUGUGUGAAGAAGGCCUUCGGGUUGUAAAGCACUUUUGUCCGGAAAGAAAUCCUUGGCUCUAAUACAGUCGGGGGAUGACGGUACCGGAAGAAUAAGCACCGGCUAACUACGUGCCAGCAGCCGCGGUAAUACGUAGGGUGCAAGCGUUAAUCGGAAUUACUGGGCGUAAAGCGUGCGCAGGCGGUUUGCUAAGACCGAUGUGAAAUCCCCGGGCUCAACCUGGGAACUGCAUUGGUGACUGGCAGGCUAGAGUAUGGCAGAGGGGGGUAGAAUUCCACGUGUAGCAGUGAAAUGCGUAGAGAUGUGGAGGAAUACCGAUGGCGAAGGCAGCCCCCUGGGCCAAUACUGACGCUCAUGCACGAAAGCGUGGGGAGCAAACAGGAUUAGAUACCCUGGUAGUCCACGCCCUAAACGAUGUCAACUAGUUGUUGGGGACUUCAUUUCCUUAGUAACGUAGCUAACGCGUGAAGUUGACCGCCUGGGGGAGUACGGUCGCAAGAUUAAAACUCAAAGGAAUUGACGGGGUCAUAGCUGUUUCCU
RNAcentral lists this ribosomal RNA (587 nucleotides) under uncultured bacterium. RNAcentral describes it as "partial 16S ribosomal RNA". It matches the Rfam family "Bacterial small subunit ribosomal RNA", at positions 355 to 1375 of the family's 1533-position model. The record is from RNAcentral.